RNAcentral lists this ribosomal RNA (216 nucleotides) under uncultured bacterium. RNAcentral's name for it is "partial 16S ribosomal RNA". It matches the Rfam family "Bacterial small subunit ribosomal RNA", at positions 1285 to 1500 of the family's 1533-position model. The record is from RNAcentral.
GUCCCAGUUCGGACUGUAGUCUGCAACCCGACUACACGAAGCUGGAAUCGCUAGUAAUCGCGAAUCAGAAUGUCGCGGUGAAUACGUUCCCGGGUCUUGUACACACCGCCCGUCACACCAUGGGAGUCGGGAAUGCCCGAAGUCAGUGACCCAACCUAUAGGAGGGAGCUGCCGAAGGCAGGUCUGAUAACUGGGGUGAAGUCGUAACAAGGUACC